This 5674-nucleotide long non-coding RNA is filed under the name Oryza sativa (Asian cultivated rice). RNAcentral describes it as "long non-coding RNA (OSAT_LNC001548)". The record is from RNAcentral. Lineage: Eukaryota; Viridiplantae; Streptophyta; Magnoliopsida; Poales; Poaceae.
UGCGGUCGUACACCUGCGCGCUCGCCGCCGUCGUCCACCUCUGCUUCACUGCCGUCUCCCCACCACGGCAUCGAACAUCGCCGUUUCGCUGCCUCUCGGUAAUAACUCGCGCCUAAAGCCUCUCCUAGUUCCAUAGAAGCUUAGUAUCUCACCAAUUUUGGCGAUUAGCACCCAAAGCCGUGCCGGACCGGCCACUUUUUCGCCCCCGGCGAGCUCGCCGUGGACAAGCCAUCCCAGGGGCUCCCCUUCCUAUCUAGCUAACAAAAUGGAACCCCCAUAUGCCGUAGAUGCUCACGCACUCAUAAAUUUGGUCGAAAACCCUUCCUGUCAUCCUAGCCACUUGCAGCCGAGCUCGGCUAUGGCGCAGCUAUGGCGGCCAUGCGCCUCGUCCCUCCAAGCGCCGCCGCAGCCGGUGGGUAGUCUCCGGAGCUUCUCCGCGCCUCCCCUAGCCGCCGCCGGUUCGCCCUCGGCCGGCCUUCCGUGCGUGCCGUGUUCCCCUGCUGCUUCCGCUCGGUCGGGAGGAAGAAGACGAAGGUUGAAGACGACCUUCAGCCGAGCCACUGACAAGCCGUCCCCACUCCUCCUAUUUCCUUUAGAAACUUAAUCCUGUGAAAAAUAAAAUCAAAGCUUUGACCCCACAUGUCAGCAGCUGUUAGGGACAAUGAUAUAUUUUGGAUUAAAAAUAAAUGAAUUAUGCACAGUCGCUUUUCACAAUUUCUCGGAUUAAUUCGAAAUUGAAUCUUUAAACUAGUAUAACUUGCUCAUUUUAACUUGGAUUUGAGUGAAACUUGAACCUUAUUUCAUCUAAAUUCAUAAUCUUUCCAAUGGUAUAUAACUCAUUGUUUAAUAAAAUAUAUUUAUAAUUAUUACAUAAUUAAUAUCAAAUGAUUAGAUUAUGGUCAACUUAAAAAUAUGCUAAUAAAUAAAAUUGGUAUUGUACAGUAGAGUGGAUGUAAUAAUAUUUGUUUCUAGCAUGUUUUUUUUUCACAGUAGCAAUCAUGAAAAUUAAGUAUAUGUGAUGUCUCAAAUGAACGGAUGUAUAGGAAAAUACUAGUACUUAUUUAAUAUUCGAUGGCCAUAUAAUUAAACCCAUGACUUAUAAAUUAUUUAUAUAAAGUUUAGCCUCAUAUUUUGUAACUAAAAUAUUAAUACUCAUAGAUGAAUCUUUAACUUGUUUAUGAGAAAUAAUAACAGAGCUAGUGUGAUUAAAUCACCUAUACGAAAUUAAUUACUUAAUGUCAUGUUCCAUGGAAUAGUAUCUUUUAAGUUGGUAAUCAAUCUUAAGUUGAUAAACAGUACCAACUCACCAAAUCCACCUGCAUCACAUAUACUGUAUAGCUUACAGUAAAUAGCUCAUGCUUAGUAAACGAUCUAAUAUUAGUAUGUUAUUGCACUCACAACUACUGUACAGUCCAUUUAAAUCAUACACAAGAACAAUAACCUACCUUUUUCAUAUAUUAAACUGAGGAGUCUAUGAUAAGCGUGUAUAGUAGAUAAAACACUAAUUAUAAAUCUUGACCUCACACAAUUAUAGUUUGACCGUGACUUAGGAUUAUUUAUGGUAAAAUUAUGCAUUGAGAUAAACUUUAACUAUAAUAUUAUGGACCACACUAAUCUAACCUACAUAGCAUGUAAUUCGUUGGAACCCUAAUACAGUAAUAUUUGUAGAGCCAUGCUUAGAUAAUCCAUCCUGUUAGAACUCUUGUUAUGAUUAAAUUAUCCACUGAGCCUUGGUAAAUCUCCUGUAGGGUGUCACCAUUUAAAUUACGAUCAAAGCUAGUUUAGCCAUGAACUCCACAUAGCAAUAGUUGAUAGAUAAUUCCGUAGUCCUGAGUAUUGAGUUCUGUAUGUGAGCAGCCAUAGUUUAGACUUCGUAGCACCUUACAAUCCAUUAGCAAGCACGAGUGAUAUGAAUAGCCCUAGGUAUAUUCCGAACAAUUAUAUUUUGUUUGUGCAUAUUUGAUUGUUGCUUGAAUAUUGGUUUUCUCGCAUAUUAUAGAAAUUGUAUAUCGGAUAGUCGUGAGGCAACGUAUGCAGCUUCCAGGAGGUGAAGGUUGAUCAAGAUCAUAUCAAGAAUAAGAACUAUCCUGAGCAGGCAAGUGUGGACCCCCGAUUUUGGAAAUCGGAAAUCAUCUGUGUUUAUCCGUACCAAUCCCUGGAUCAGUAGUUGGUACACACAUACAUAGUUGAAUCACAACAUAUCACGAAUGAAUUCAGGCUAAAAGAGUUAAAUACUUACAUUAGGGCCAGGUAGGCCAACAACUAUCAGAGAACAACAGCGGAAGACAAAAUAAUAUAAGGGCCCGGUUAACAUGCCACAGGCAGUCGACUGGGGAACGAGACCUAGAACAAGACCGCACUCCGAUCAUCUUGUUGGAUACACAAGCGUACCGACAAGGGCUUCUCUUCAACACUCUCCUAAAAGAUAUAUGAAUAGCAAGGGUGAGUACCAACCGUACUCAGCAAGGCACCAUAACAACAAUGCAUAUGAUAGAGGGUAUUUCAAGGAAGGGCUCCAGGUUCUUUUGCGUAAAGCAAGCUUUUGCAAAUCUUUUCACAAGCAUGAGACCUAGCAUAGACUGAUCAAGUUUUAAUACCAAUGUUCACAUUAAACAACGACGGUUCUGCCCACCAUCCAUUGUGAUCCCAAGGAUAGCUUCCCGCCAUUGAGUCGUCAUGGUUUUCUGAGGACGUCCACCUUCCCUCCUCUCAGGAAGUGGCUCCAUCAGCAUAAAAAUCAUCAUGCAAUAUCCCAUCCCACACAAGUUAAAGAAUUUAGAGUCUAGCCAAGUGUAAUACAUGUCCCGGUGCUCAAUAACCGCGAGCACGGCUAUUCGAAUAGAUUUGGUUUACUCACACUGCAGUGGAUGUACACUUUACCCGCACUCCGCGACUGCCCAACACAUGAGCCUCGUCCCAACACAUGAGACGCGUCACGGCAAAGCUUUUCGAUAACCUCGCAUUGGCAGUACCCGCUCCAUGAACUUAAAUCCUCAUGCACUCUAGGCGUCCAUGUUUCUAGCAGUGAGAGGAGUUCUGGCGCUCCCGGGAAAGAGAAGUCUCACACACAUAUUAAAUUAUGGUUCAAGUUAAGUUCUCUCUCUCACACACUCAUGGCAGUCCUACCAAUGGCGACACCGAUGUAGGGCACGCCUCUCGGCCCUACUUCAACGGCUGUCCCACCGUAGCGCACCUGCCUCACUCAGGGGUGAACCAUCUAUGCAGGGAUACUGCCUCCGCUCGGCUAUCUAAUCCGCUAGGUCUAUACCCAUACGAGAAGUGCGGUUGUACGGGGGUCGUUUCAUGCUUAACUUCAUGGCUCGGUCCUUAAUUGACCGGGGACAGUACUAGCCUUUUCCAGAUACAACCCAAAUCCUCCGUCCGCCCCAGUCGAAAACAGUUGUUUAAUUUUAUUUCUCCUUUCACAAAUCAUGUCAUCAACAUCAUGGCAAUGUGGCGCUCAUGUCUCCACAUGCCGCAUCUUAAUUACCUUCCCAAAGGUAAUUGCCCAAGCAUAUAGCAUUUGAUAAAUAUGAGUAUGCAUGAUUCUAGAAUAGCAUUUCUAAGCAAUUGUCAUAGUUGACUAGGGACUCAUACGUAAACAUGGUUACAAAGAUUUAAGGGUAAACAAUAAUCAAGGCAUGGCAUAAUCACAAGUGGGAUGUUCAUCAUUGCAUGCAAUUUUAUUUGUAAACAAAACAAUUUCGCAAUUGGGAUCAACAUGUUCAAGGAAUAGUGAUGACUUGCCUGCUCAGAGUAGUUCUUAUUCUUAAUAUAAUCUUGAUCAACCUUCACCUCCUGGAAGCUGCAUACGUUGCCUCACGACUAACCGAUACACAGUCUAGAAUACGCAAGAAAAACCAAUAUUCAAGCAACAAUCAAAUAUGCACAAACAAAAUAUAUUUGUUGAGGUCGAACUUACGGUUGCUCAUAUUAUUCGCGCUUGCUAAUGGAUUCCAACAUGCUAAGGGCUAAAGUUUCUUAAUCUUUCUGUUGUCAUGGUGGUCUAUAUAGGAGCUAACCAAUGUAGUAUGAAUGAGAUACGUAUCUGGCUACUAUGUGGUUUAGUCUAGCAAAUGGCUAUUCAUGCAUCUAUCUAAAUAGAAUGGUUAUACACUAGAGGUUCUGUUGCCGGAUGGAUUUGGAUCGGUCAAAUAAUUAAUGUGAAUCAUUUGUAUUAUUAUUUUAUUGAUGGAGGCUUUAUUUUAAUUAUGUACAUAUUUUACUUGUCAAAAUAAAUUAUAAAGGUUAACAAUUACCCUUGCUUUGUAUGUUAGAAUUGUCUAGGUCAAUCAUAUUAUGGUUACGGGUUAUCUCAUCACAUAAUUUUACAAUGAAUAAUCCUAAUUUACAAUUAUAUUAGGUCAAGAUUUAUAAUUAGUAUUUUAUCCACUAUAGAUGUUUGUCAUAGACUCAUUAGUUUACUAUACACAAAAGAUUAGGUUUUUGAUAUACCGUACAUCUAAAUUGGGAUGUACAAUGUAUGUGGGUGCAACAAUAUUUAAUCAUUGGAUCAUUUACUGAAUAGUUGCUAUUUACUAGAAGCUAUACGAUAUAUGUGAUUAAGAUGGCUCUGUUUUGUUAACUAAUGGAUGUCAACCGAACUAUAUAUAUUCCACUUCACAUGACAUUAUUCCAACUAACUUUAAGUGGUCCAUUUACAACUAGCUCAGUUAUUAUUCUCCUCAGACAAGUUGAAGGUUCAUCUAAGUGUGUUUAUAUUUUAGUUACAAAGUAUGAGGCUAAACUUAUGUAAAUAAUUUAUAAGUCAUAGGUUUAGUUAUAUUUGGACAUAGACUAAUAAAUGGCACUAAUAUUUCCUAUGAUUUAAUUAAUUUGAAACAAUGCUCCUAGUUAGUUUACAUAGGUUUAUAGUGAGAAAGUAUGUUAAAGACAAUUAUUUGACAUCUACUUUACCGUACAAUAUCAAUUUCAUCAUUAGCACAUUUUUAAGUUAACUAUUAUACAUCAUCUUGAUAUUAAUUAUUAAUAAUUAUAAAUAUAUUUUAUUAAAUAGUGAAUUAUAUACCAUUGGAAAGCUUGUGAAUUUAGAUGAAUUCAGGUUCAAGUUUCACUCAAAUCGGAGCUAAAAUGAAUAAGUUAUGCUAGUGUAAAGAAUCAAAUUUGAAUUAAUUCUAAAAAUUGUGAAAUGGUACUGUUCCUAAUUCAUUUAUUUUUAAUACAACCUUAUCCACAGGCUAUAGUGACUGACAGGUGGGGUCUUCCUAUUUUCUUUUCUUUUAUUUUAUUUUUCUUUCUAAAGGAAUCAUAUGGGCAAAUGACAGGUGGGCCCGAUUCCUUUGACUAGGGUCAAACCGGCCAUUUAACUCGGUAGGGCCCGCAUGUCAUAGACUCGAGAUUAUAAAACCUCUAUAAUUAGAUUUUUGACCACCCGGACCCACAUGUAAUAGACUCAACUAAUAAAGAUUAAGAAGAGAAUUACUAUUCACUAAACACGUGGGGCCCACCCUAAUCUCUCCUCUCCUUUCUCUUUUCUCUCUCUCUUCUCUGUUUUCUCUCUUCUCUCCCUCCCGGCUUCUCCUCCCUCCUCUCUCUCUCGGCUCUCUGGCGACGACGACCGAGCAAGGGGAGGAGGCGGCGGCGCGAGGGCGGCGCGACGACGGCGCACGGCGCGGCGGCACGAAGGCGGCGGCGCGGCGUGGUGGAGGGGAAG